This 107-nucleotide small nuclear RNA is filed under the name Marmota marmota marmota (Alpine marmot). RNAcentral describes it as "U4 spliceosomal RNA (ENSMMMG00000020657.1)". It matches the Rfam family "U4 spliceosomal RNA". From Rfam's summary of the family: U4 small nuclear RNA (U4 snRNA) is a component of the major U2-dependent spliceosome. The structure of U4 snRNA from yeast and human has been reported. U4 snRNA presents a k-turn RNA motif in the 5p-SL related to recognition of Snu13 protein. Lineage: Eukaryota; Metazoa; Chordata; Mammalia; Rodentia; Sciuridae. The record is from RNAcentral.
AGCUUUGUGCAGUGGCAGUAUCAUAGCCAAUGAGGUUUAUCCCAGGCAUGACUAUUGCUAAUUGAAAACUUUUCCCAUUACAUCCUACUAUAAAAUCCACUACUGGA